AACGAACGCUGGCGGCAUGCCUAACACAUGCAAGUCGAACGAGACCUUCGGGUCUAGUGGCGCACGGGUGCGUAACGCGUGGGAACCUGCCCUUAGGUUCGGAAUAACUCCCCGAAAGGGGUGCUAAUACCGGAUAAUGUCUUCGGACCAAAGAUUUAUCGCCUUUGGAUGGGCCCGCGUUGGAUUAGCUAGUUGGUAGGGUAAAAGCCUACCAAGGCGACGAUCCAUAGCUGGUCUGAGAGGAUGAUCAGCCACACUGGGACUGAGACACGGCCCAGACUCCUACGGGAAGCAGCAGUGGGGAAUAUUGGACAAUGGGCGAAAGCCUGAUCCAGCAAUGCCGCGUGAGUGAUGAAGGCCUUAGGGUUGUAAAGCUCUGUUACCCGGGAUGAUAAUGACAGUACCGGGAGAAUAAGCUCCGGCUAACUCCGUG
RNAcentral lists this ribosomal RNA (433 nucleotides) under uncultured bacterium. RNAcentral describes it as "partial 16S ribosomal RNA". It matches the Rfam family "Bacterial small subunit ribosomal RNA", at positions 29 to 507 of the family's 1533-position model. The record is from RNAcentral.